RNA transcript from Aphis gossypii (cotton aphid), 3539 nucleotides. It is a transcript of the gene named TAR DNA-binding protein 43-like, with no coding region annotated. The record is from RefSeq and is a predicted model, not a curated record. NCBI's taxonomy places the organism in Eukaryota, Metazoa, Arthropoda, Insecta, Hemiptera, Aphididae. The transcript is spliced from 6 exons.
GUGCCUGACAAUGAAUGGGGAAAGACACCUUACUACUGUGUUUUUCCUAAAGUGGAAAAUAAAAGAAAGAUUGAUGAUAGUGUAGAAAAUCCAACAGCUAAAACUAAGAGAUUAGAGACAAAACUGAAAUGUUCAGAUUUAGUUGUCUUAAAUAUACCAUACACUUAUGAUGAACAAAAGUUGAAAGAAUACUUUGGUCAAUUUGGAGAACUUCUUAUGUUACAGAUAAAGAGAGAUAAAAAUGGGCAAUCUCGAGGAUAUGGAUUUUUAAGGUAUACAAAUUUAGAAUCACAAGUAAGAGUUCUUUCUCAGCGUCAUAAGAUUGAUGGUCGUAAUUGUGAAGUUAAGGUUCCAAAGUCUAAGGAAGGUAAUGGUUCAGAGCUUUCCGGAAAAGUUUUUGUGGGUCGUGUGACAGAAGAUUUAACAGCUGACGAUAUUCGUGAGUAUUUCAGCAAAUUUGGAGAAGUCAUCAAUGUUUUUGUGCCCAAAAAUCCAUUCCGCGGAUUUGCAUUUGUAACUUUCCUCGAUCCUGAAGUAGCUGCUAGUUUAUGCGGUGAAGAUCAUAUUGUUAAAGACGUUUCAGUGCGCGUAUCUGAAGCUGCCCCAAAACCACAAGUUCCCAAAAAUCGUCAUCAAACUCCCCCACCUAGUGAACCCUGGGAGCGUUCUAAUAAUCGCCAUAAUGACAAUUAUCGAAAUUGGUAUCACUCACAACAUGAUAAUAGGGGGAGUGUAGAUAUGCCUAAUCUACAGUCAUUGGGAAUUAAUGGUCAAGACAGCUAUAACCCAAUGUUGCCCCUGAGCCCGCUAUUGUUGCUGCUGCAUUAACACAAGCUGCUGGAUGGAGUCUGGCUAAUGGUCGUAUGAUGCCACCACCACCACCUCCUAAUGGAAACAAUCAAUGGUCUCAACACGGUCUCAACUCUCAACGAAAUAACUAUAAUAACAGGAAACGUUCUAAUAAUGAUUACAAUUCAUCAGGCAAUCGCUAAAAAAAUAUAAUGGUAAUAUUAUAAAUAAAAAUCAAUAACAAUUUACUGUCCUAAAACUUUACCAGUUCUUCUAACUUUUUGGAUAUGUACAUAGUACAUACAUGAUUACAAGUAUAAAAAAUAAACUGGCUAAUAUUCUGUAGUUAAAAUGUUUAUUCUGGUUAUUCCACAUUAUUGUUGGAAUAAUGAUUAUUUUUAUUUAAAUACAACUUGUUUUGAUGCUGAAUGUGGCAAACAAAUAAAAAACCUUAUUUACUGAACAAAUUAAUUUGUUAAUUAAAAUUUAAAAAGUAGUAAUACAUGUUAAUAAACUGUUUGUAUACAUAUUAGUAUAUUCUUUAUAAUAUAUACAUUUAGUUAUUGUUACUGCUAUACAAUUGUGCAUUUAAGGGUUAUCUUAAUAUUAAUAGAAUACAUAUUUAAAUUAUUAUGCUUUGGUGGAACGAAUGAAUUUACAAAUGGUAUGAAUGUAAUUUGUAUGACAUUAUUUGAUUGGAAAUUAUACUAUCUCAUUAAAAACAUGUAAAAAUUGUGUUUUACUUUGUGGCUUGAACAUAUGCUAAUACAAUAUUAUGUAUUGAAAAAAAUUGGUUAUACUUUCAAAAUUAGUUUUAUUAUGUGUGUAUGUCUACUGUAUAUACUUAAGACUGGAUUUUUUUUGUUACGUAAUGAAGUUAUGGAUGGUAUUAUGGCUUUCAAUAUCCACAAUACAGAUAAUUUUUUCUACCUUGUAUAAUUAUUAAUUGUACUAUCAGCUAGUUUUUUUUUUUUUUUAAAUAGUAAACGUAUUAUGUACUUCUACGUUUUCUAAUAGUUAAAAAAUAUUUAUUAUUUUCUUAUAUCUAAAUUUGCUUCUAGUUUUUCAAUAAAAUUAUGAUAUAUUGUAUUUUAUUAUACAGUCGUAAAAAUAUUUUAACUUGACCUAUUUGAAAAUUAAAUCGAGUUUAAAAUAUAAUUGUCAUAUUUAUAUAUUUAUUUGUCUUUCUCAAUAGUUGACUUAAUCAAUAUUUUCUAUAAUAACAUGUAUGCAUAAAAUAUAAUCAACCUUCUAAAUAUUAAUUUUGGUUGUUUAUUUGGUCAAUUAGUUAUAUUUCUUGUUUAACUUAUAUUUGAUUAAAACUUAAACAAAUUAAUAAAUAUUAAGGUUUUAUCUUUGAAUGAUACUACAUUAUAACAUUUAUUCUAAUAAAAUUCAAUACGCAAAUGAAAAUCAAUAAUAUGAGUUUUAAAUCUAAGUAUUGUAUUUCAUUAUGUUUUUAAUAUACCUUAAUUAUAGUAAUUAUUGUUAAUUAAUUUUGCUAAAUAAUAUUAAUAAUUAUUAAUUUAAAAAAAAAAGACGUUUAUUGAAUAUGAAUAUAUUAUAAAAAGCAUGAUUGCCAUAAUCCUCCUUGUAUUUAAUUAUUUUUAGUCUGACUGAAUGAACGAUGAUUUAAUUGUAUUUGUUAUCAUCUUUGACUUGUAAAGACUAUUUUGUCUGCUGUCAAUGAAUAAGUUGUUUCAUUUUAAUCUUUAUUAAAUGUAUGCAAAAUCAUCUGGUUGUAUGGAGUGCUCGGUUUAAACUUUAAACAUCGAGUUAAAUAUGUCUUUUACAAUGUCAAAAUGGAGUAUUGUGAUAUUUGUUGCUGAAAAUAUAAAAUUGAAAAAAAUUCGGUCUUUAAUAUUGUCGAAUAGCUGUCAAUCUGUGUUGAUGAAUGUCUUCAACAAACGGAACAUCUUCAAUGUUUUGUAAGUAUGUAUGUUUUCAUGUGUGUUAACUCAGAUUCUCGAUUAUGUAUAAUUUUUAUUUUGUUUAUUUUACCAGCAUGUAUGUUUUAUUUUUAUCUUGUUUAUAAAAUUGAGUAUAUUAAAAAUAUUAAUCAUCUUACAUAUAAAUUAUAGUUUGUUCUGUUUGGUUUACAAAUAGGUAUUUUUUAAUUUAUCCAAUAGAAAACCAUUGUUUAAACAUUAUUAUUUAAAAUUGUAUAAAUUAUGUUUUGUUUACUAGUUAGUGUUAACAUUAUUAAUUUAUUUCAGAUUCAUGUGAAAAAUUAACUAAUUUUAUCUGACAACCAAGUCUUAUUGAUCAAAUUCAGGUUCAAUCAGAACUUGAAUCUUGAAGAAUCCAGCAAGAACUACCUUCCCUUGAAUUGAAAGAAUGGUUACUGUUACUACAAAUCUAUGUUAUUAACAUUUUCUGAAAGGUAUUUAUUUUUCAUAGAGUAAUAACAAUACAUUGUCCUUUGUGAUGGACAAAUUCAAGGUACUAGCAAGUUGGUAUAUUUAUAUGGAUUAUCGACAAAAGCGACUGGAUGAUAUAGAAACAAUGCAUACCUAAAAUUAAAAAUUAAAUGUUUAAAAAGAAAUUGAACUGUAUAUUAAUUUUUUUUUCAAUAUUGUUAGUGACUGAGAGAUUACAAGUAUAUAAUAUCGAAUAUUUUUUUGACUGGUUUAUAAUUUGAAUUUUUUUCUCUAUUAUUUUAUCUAGAAGAUUCUAUUGUGAAACUAAAUAUUACUGUACGUUAAGGUAUUUCAUAAAUAGAUAUUUUAUAAUAUAAUAUAUUUCUAUCA